Molecule: non-coding RNA, 1315 nt
Organism: Schizosaccharomyces pombe (fission yeast)
Lineage: Eukaryota; Fungi; Ascomycota; Schizosaccharomycetes; Schizosaccharomycetales; Schizosaccharomycetaceae
Source: the annotation of a GenBank genome assembly
AUAGACGUAUUCCAAAAAAACUAGCAUCCCUUUUUGUUUCUCCAAUGGUUCAUUUACCAUUGGUAGAUCGAGAACACUGGGUAAAAAAUUGCAUGAACAAUAAUUGAAUGUUUCCACAGAGAUAGAAGCCAAGGAAGCAAAUACAGCUGCACAAGAUCCGCAAGAUUUAACAUUAACAUCUUCGAGUAAACGCUGUGAUAAUUGGAUCAAAAUCAUAUCCACAAACUCUGUGAACGAAGAUGAAAACCCUUCCUCUUUAUAAAAUUUACUAGCUAAAGUAUUGAGUGCACCAAGCGCCAAAUUUUGAAGUUCAGCAUCUGUCGAAUUUAGUAUUUCUUGCUUAAUAGAUUCCCAAAAGUCUUUAGCAGACCAUAAAUAAGCACCCACGCGCCAAGUUUUGCAAGCUUCUAUAUAAAUGUUUAAUGCAUCGAUUUUUAUGCGAACAGUUGAAGCCUUCAGCCUUUCAAAUAAAGCAGGAAGAAGUAAUUUUGAAAACGCGUCGUUAGCAACCAAGGUUUCUCUACAAAGGACGGUUAGCAAUAGUUCACAUGUCAUGAUGCCUUACCGGAGAGCUAUUUUAAGAUCGUCGCUAGUAAUAGCCAAAUUGGUGGCAUCAGGCGGAGCACGGAAAGUGAUCGGGAAAUAACAAUAAGUGAUAUCAAAGAAUUGCUACAUGUAAGUAAUUUCAUUAGGCGAUUAACAAUGAGAUCCAUACCUGUUCAAAUCCGUCAAUGGGGAAUGUAGAAAGUAUUUUUUUAAGCAUAGAAAAGACCAGCAUAAGAUUACGAGGGUCUUUCUCACCAGCAAAAGUUGAACAAAUUCCAGAGAAGAAAGCAUCGCGAGUUUGUGAAGAGAUGACUGAGAACUAAGUUAAUUGAUGACUCUCCAAAAAGAUCCUUACAGAAAAGAUAAUUAUCUAUAAUGGUUUCAAAUACUUUUAAAAUGUUUAAACGAGUUGCUUGAGCAUAUUUUGGCAUGUCAGUGGAACUGAAGAGAGCCUUACAAACAUCCACAAUCUUUUGAGCAGGGAAGUUUUGCAUGUUUAGAAGAGCUCCAAUACCUAACGCAUUCUCCUUCAUUGUAACUUCAUCAUCCAAACGACUCAAGUAAAACUGAAGAAGUACAGAUACAUGUUUCGCAGGAAGUCUAUCUUUAGGAAGCUCACCUAAAGUUUGUGACAGUAAUAAAACUGCUUUUGCUCUAACAGAGAUAUUGUUGUCAGUUAAAUACUCUCCAAUUGAAGUAACCAAAUCGACAAUCCCCAUUCUGUCAGUGACAAUUUCUUCGACAAUUCGAUCUACAACGUCGUUUGCCU